UACGUAGGGUGCUAGCGUUGUUCGGAAUCAUUGGGCGUAAAGCGCGUGUAGGCGGUUAGAUAAGUCAGAUGUGAAAAUCCCUGGGCCUCAACCGAGGAAGUGCAUUUGAAACUAUCUAGCUAGAGAGUGGUAGAGGAAGGUGGAAUUCCGUGUGUAGAGGUGAAAUUCGUAGAUAUACGGAGGAAUACCGGUGGCGAAGGCGGCCUUACUGGACGGAUACUGACGCUGAGGCGCGAAGCCAGGGGAGGCG
RNAcentral lists this ribosomal RNA (250 nucleotides) under uncultured bacterium. Its description in RNAcentral is "partial 16S ribosomal RNA". It matches the Rfam family "Bacterial small subunit ribosomal RNA", at positions 524 to 770 of the family's 1533-position model. The record is from RNAcentral.